UGGGGAAUAUUGCACAAUGGGCGCAAGCCUGAUGCAGCGACGCCGCGUGGGGGAUGACGGCCUUCGGGUUGUAAACUCCUUUCGCCCACGACGAAGCCCCUCGGGGUGACGGUAGUGGGAUAAGAAGCACCGGCUAACUACGUGCCAGCAGCCGCGGUAAUACGUAGGGUGCGAGCGUUGUCCGGAAUUACUGGGCGUAAAGAGCUCGUAGGUGGUUUGUCGCGUCGUCUGUGAAAGUCCAGCGCUUAACGCUGGGAUUGCAGGCGAUACGGGCUUACUUGAGUGCUGUAGGGGAGACUGGAAUUCCUGGUGUAGCGGUGAAAUGCGCAGAUAUCAGGAGGAACACCAAUGGCGAAGGCAGGUCUCUGGGCAGUCACUGACACUGAGGAGCGAAAGCAUGGGUAGCCAACAGG
This 413-nucleotide ribosomal RNA is filed under the name uncultured prokaryote. Its description in RNAcentral is "bacterial SSU rRNA". It matches the Rfam family "Bacterial small subunit ribosomal RNA", at positions 355 to 776 of the family's 1533-position model. The record is from RNAcentral. RNAcentral also lists the same sequence under 1 other name.